AGGAGAGUCAAGUCCAAGUGCUUUCUUCAAAUAUGAAAGAGGGUGCAGAAGGUCAAAAGAAGACUGAUGCUCUGAUGCACUGAAAUACCAUCUACGUCCUAUAUGGAGCGCUACUAGAGUUCUAGUCCUGGCCUUCUUCAUAAAGUUAUAGAAAUUGUAGCAUUUGCAAUUGGAUUACCCUGAAGAUCUCUAACAAAUCCCUUCACUCCCCGAUGUAUCUAGAAAAGC
This is a long non-coding RNA of Alligator sinensis (Chinese alligator), 228 nucleotides long. RefSeq lists it as uncharacterized. The transcript is spliced from 3 exons. The record is from RefSeq and is a predicted model, not a curated record. NCBI's taxonomy places the organism in Eukaryota, Metazoa, Chordata, Crocodylia, Alligatoridae.